UCGCGGGCUGGAGGACGGCGACGCGUCGGUGCGGCUGCGGGCGGCGCUGACGGUCGGUACGGAUCCGGAUCCGGGGU
Molecule: transfer RNA, 77 nt
Filed under: Streptomyces roseiscleroticus
Lineage: Bacteria; Bacillati; Actinomycetota; Actinomycetes; Kitasatosporales; Streptomycetaceae
Also listed under: 1 other name
Description: tRNA-Arg
Source: RNAcentral